Anneissia japonica is the source of this 2133-nucleotide long non-coding RNA. RefSeq lists it as uncharacterized. The transcript has 3 exons. The record is from RefSeq and is a predicted model, not a curated record. NCBI's taxonomy places the organism in Eukaryota, Metazoa, Echinodermata, Crinoidea, Comatulida, Comatulidae.
AUGAUACGAUGCAAAUAUUUUAUUUUGUCCAUAAUACUCAUUGAAACGUGUAUUCACUCAACAUUAAUUUUCACUUCAAAGAAAAACAAGGAACCUAACAUAACUGCAACAUGGUAUAGGGAGUUACACCACUAAGGUCUUAAUCAUCUGCAAACUCCUGAGCUACCUGAACCAUGCAUCAUCGGAUAAAGGCUUUCAUCAACUAAGAUUGACAUUGGCCAUGGUUUACUUAUAGAAAAGGAUCUAUGAUAGGAAAGAAAAACAAUGCACAUGUGGAACAUAAGUAGAGAAAGCGCGUUUGAAUCCCAUCUGAAUUACUGCCAUAACAGAUUUCACUGAUAAGAAGUAUCCUGCGGCAUCAACCACUCUUUUGAGGCAGUCUCUGUCAAACAGAAUAAAGAAAAUGAACAAGCCUAAAAAUUGGGAAUACCAUGUAUGCAUUUUUGUUUUUAAAUUUCGUUAUAUAAAUUUAAUUCCAAACUUUGUUCUAGUGAUAUUAGAUUUGUGGUAGUAUUUUAUUAUAUUUGAUGUUUCAGUGUGUAGGCCGUCUUAAAGUUAGGCUCAGAAAAGUUAUGCUUUUUUUUUUAUGUUGUAGAACUGAUUUUUUUUUAAACCCAAAAAAAAUAUUUGAUGAAAAACUUAGAAGCGAUUAAUGAGAUUCAGAUUUUUUAAUAUUUAAAAACUGGGGGAAAAGAGACAUAAUCACCCUUUUCCCUCCUUACUUUUCCCCAGUUUUUAAAUAUUCAAAAAUCUGUAUCUCUCUCAUUAAACUGCUUCCAAGUUUUUUGUCAAAUAUACUUUGAGGCUUAGAAAGAUUAGUUCUACAACAUAUCAACAAAUUUAUGUCCUCCAGAGCUUGGCUUUAUUAAAUAGAAAUGCUACUUCCACAUCAAUAAUUAUAUCCACCCUUGUCAUAUUUUCUUAAAAUAUUAUUUAAAUAUUUUUGUCUUGCCAUAUUAUUGUAUAUACAUGAAAUCAAUAUUUUCUUAUUUAUGUGAGUAGCAAUUAUUCCAGUACUGUAUCUUAUUUUGUAGCUCUCUGUUUAGUACCUGAGUAUAUUUUUUCUUUAAAGUUUAAACAUAGGGGCCAAUCACAAUUGUAAACAUAGUGUAUUAAAAGUGUACUCUUUUUUGCCACCUCAACCCCUUUAAAAAGUGUACAUUCAUGGAAAAUGUUGAUUUUGCAAUACUGUUCUCUAUGGCCCUUUUUUCAAUGGGUACAUGAUACAUAAUUAGGUUUAAAUAUAUCCAUAUUGACAUGUUAUUAAAUUUAGAAAACCGAUUUCAAUCAAUAUUUUAAGCUUUUGUAAAUUCCUUUCAUUUAAUUUUGUAUUUAGUACCAGGCCCUUUCCCUCUUAGGAAAGUUUAUACAUUUGUUGAUAAUUAUGAAUGGUCCAUACAGUGCAGGGUUAUCCACCUUAUGUUUUGGAAUUUCUUUUUUGAGUCUUUCACAUCUAUUAAAUUUGUGUAAAGUUAAAUCUAAUACUGUACUUUAAUAGUAUAUAAAAAUAUAUAAAACUUUUUCUUUCAUCUACCCUUAUCAAUAUCGCUUACAGUACCUUGAUGUUAUUUAAUAUAUUUAUAAUAAUUUAUAUAGGCCUGCAAUUUACUGUAAAUACAGCUAUUAUACAGUAUACAGUACUGUAAAAUUAUUUUUAUAAAUCUUUAUAUGUUUGCACAAUACCACUAGUGCUACAUCGUGUGACUUCAUAAUGCUAGUAAAAUUCAAUGCAGUUUAUUCUUUUAAGAUAUUGAAUCCAUUUUUUUUUCUACUUUUAGAUGAUGCAAUUUAAACAUUAUUUUAGUAUGGUUGUUUGACCUGUUAUAUAUAUGUUUAAUAUGUCACUAAAUAAAGAUCUUGAGAAUGAAUACAUUUUGUUGAGAUUUCUGUACAGUGGGUUCAAACAUUUCCAGCCAUGAACUACCAAAACACAUUUGUACAUUACAAUCAUCUUGUAGGCCUAUGAUUUUUUUAUUUUUACACUUUUUUUUUUUGAUUCGUGAAAACAGUUUUUUAGUGAUCGAAUGAUAUAAAAAAAGUUAUAUCAGCGUUAUUUUCUAGAGAAGUGCUGUGAAUUUCUAUGAAAAUUAAUUUUAUCAGCGUUAUUUUCUAUAGAAAUGCUGUUUUUUUUUC